UACGUAGGGCGCAAGCGUUGUCCGGAAUUAUUGGGCGUAAAGAGCUCGUAGGCGGCUUGUCACGUCGGUUGUGAAAGCCCGGGGCUUAACCCCGGGUCUGCAGUCGAUACGGGCAGGCUAGAGUUCGGUAGGGGAGAUCGGAAUUCCUGGUGUAGCGGUGAAAUGCGCAGAUAUCAGGAGGAACACCGGUGGCGAAGGCGGAUCUCUGGGCCGAUACUGACGCUGAGGAGCGAAAGCGUGGGGAGCGAACAGG
RNAcentral lists this ribosomal RNA (253 nucleotides) under uncultured bacterium. RNAcentral's name for it is "partial 16S ribosomal RNA". It matches the Rfam family "Bacterial small subunit ribosomal RNA", at positions 524 to 776 of the family's 1533-position model. The record is from RNAcentral.